RNAcentral lists this ribosomal RNA (247 nucleotides) under uncultured bacterium. RNAcentral's name for it is "partial 16S ribosomal RNA". It matches the Rfam family "Bacterial small subunit ribosomal RNA", at positions 524 to 771 of the family's 1533-position model. The record is from RNAcentral.
UACGAAGGGGGCUAGCGUUGUUCGGAAUCACUGGGCGUAAAGGGCGCGUAGGCGGCCGUUCAAGUCGGGGGUGAAAGCCUGUGGCUCAACCACAGAAUUGCCUUCGAUACUGGACGGCUCGAGACCGGAAGAGGUCAGUGGAACUGCGAGUGUAGAGGUGAAAUUCGUAGAUAUUCGCAAGAACACCAGUGGCGAAGGCGGCUGACUGGUCCGGUUCUGACGCUGAGGCGCGAAAGCGUGGGAGCAA